This 76-nucleotide transfer RNA is filed under the name Thermosynechococcus sp. CL-1. RNAcentral describes it as "tRNA-Val". It matches the Rfam family "tRNA". From Rfam's summary of the family: Transfer RNA (tRNA) molecules are approximately 80 nucleotides in length. The record is from RNAcentral. Lineage: Bacteria; Bacillati; Cyanobacteriota; Cyanophyceae; Acaryochloridales; Thermosynechococcaceae.
GGGCGGUUAACUCAGUUGGUAGAGUAUCUCGUUUACACCGAGGCUGUCGGGGGUUCGAGUCCCUCACCGCCCAUCA